UACGUAGGGUGCGAGCGUUGUCCGGAAUUAUUGGGCGUAAAGAGCUUGUAGGCGGUUUGUCGCGUCUGCUGUGAAAGCCCGGGGCUUAACCCCGGGUCUGCAGUGGGUACGGGCAGGCUAGAGUGUGGUAGGGGAGACUGGAAUUCCUGGUGUAGCGGUGGAAUGCGCAGAUAUCAGGAGGAACACCGAUGGCGAAGGCAGGUCUCUGGGCCACUACUGACGCUGAGAAGCGAAAGCGUGGGGAGCGAAC
RNAcentral lists this ribosomal RNA (250 nucleotides) under uncultured bacterium. RNAcentral's name for it is "partial 16S ribosomal RNA". It matches the Rfam family "Bacterial small subunit ribosomal RNA", at positions 524 to 773 of the family's 1533-position model. RNAcentral also lists the same sequence under 1 other name. The record is from RNAcentral.